AACGAACGCUGGCGGCAGGCCUAACACAUGCAAGUCGAGGGGGAAGCCACUUUCGGGUGGUGGAGACCGGCGCACGGGUGAGUAACGCGUGGGAACCUACCCUGGGGUGGGGGAUAACCGCUGGAAACGGCGGCUAAUACCGCAUACGCCUUGAGAGGGAAAGAUUUAUCGCCCUGGGACGGGCCCGCGUUGGAUUAGCUUGUUGGUGAGGUAAAGGCUCACCAAGGCUGCGAUCCAUAGCUGGUCUGAGAGGAUGAUCAGCCACACUGGGACUGAGACACGGCCCAGACUCCUACGGGAGGCAGCAGUGGGGAAUAUUGGACAAUGGGGGCAACCCUGAUCCAGCCAUGCCGCGUGCGUGAAGAAGGCCUUAGGGUUGUAAAGCGCUUUCACCGGUGAAGAUGAUGACGGUAGCCGGAGAAGAAGCCCCGGCUAACUCCGUG
RNAcentral lists this ribosomal RNA (443 nucleotides) under uncultured bacterium. RNAcentral's name for it is "bacterial SSU rRNA". It matches the Rfam family "Bacterial small subunit ribosomal RNA", at positions 29 to 507 of the family's 1533-position model. The record is from RNAcentral.